GUUCUUCCUUUUUAAAGUUUUGUUUCAUUUCAUAUUUUCAGAUCUUUCUCCAUGCUAAUGUGGAGUUGUUCGAUAUGAAAAGGAAAGCAUACUAAAUUUUAGAGGGAUGAAACUGUUCACAUAUAUUUAUUCCUACAGAUUGUCAAUCAAAAGUUGUGAUCUUCCUCUGGCAUGGAGUGCAAUAUAUCAAUGAAAGUUGAAUCAAAUGAGAAAAUCAAAAGGAAAAAGGCCAGAAAAAAACUCAAGCUCAGACUGGUAAAAGCAAGACUACGGGAAAAAGAUGAUAGUUUGACUCCUUAGUGUUAUCAUUUCAACUAUUAGAAAGCUACUGAGAUGUAGUUAUGAAUGAAAAAAGCCCUAAGUCACAUUGCCGUUAGAGGAAGCUACUAGAUUGAAAUAUCAAAACAUUGGAGCAUUUCUUGGUUCAUCUAUAUGUUGAGUUAGAAGAUAAUAAACUGUAAAUUUGUUUUGUCU
This is a non-coding RNA of Nicotiana tabacum (common tobacco), 474 nucleotides long. NCBI's taxonomy places the organism in Eukaryota, Viridiplantae, Streptophyta, Magnoliopsida, Solanales, Solanaceae. The record is from RefSeq and is a predicted model, not a curated record.